This is a non-coding RNA of Schizosaccharomyces pombe (fission yeast), 650 nucleotides long. The record is from the annotation of a GenBank genome assembly. NCBI's taxonomy places the organism in Eukaryota, Fungi, Ascomycota, Schizosaccharomycetes, Schizosaccharomycetales, Schizosaccharomycetaceae.
UCUUCGAAUCCAUUUAUUGAUGCUUCUAGUAUUAUUUCCAAUUGUAGGCGAUGACAUUUCAUGUUUUGGUAUAGCGCCGUCAGCAGAACCGAUAGAUAACAUUGUUUUGCUAUAUCAAUUCAUAUACCAAAAAUUUAUCAAUUUGCUUACGUAAUGUUUUCUAUUAGUUGGACCAGCAUUUAGUUAUAGGCCUAUUAAAAUCUCAUCAACUGAAAGAUUUCCAAUUAGUCAAACUGUGACUAAACUGCCUUUUUGGCCCUAGGUAUUUUUGCACUUUACAAUAAUUGUUACACACUUCGUAUUGCUUAACUUGCAGAUUCCAUGUUUUUAUUGGCUAAAAUAAAUUGGUGUGUACGACAAAUCAUUAAAAUUUGAGACUCUUUGCCAAAUAUUAUGCCAGGCUAUUUCGCUUACGAUGUCUUACCCACUUGUGUGUAAGAUCUCUGUAUCUCCUUGUAUUAGUUGAAAAUUACGCAUCUUCAUACCAAAUAUUUUAAGUUAGAAUGUAACAGGAAGGUAAGUAAGUAUAGAUGAUCAUUUGUAAAAUGGAUAGUUUUCAGUUUUAUCCUUUCCUUAAUACAAUGCUAUUAUUCAAAUACAUGUGGAAUUUGUCUAACGCCCAAAAUUCGAUUUUGAUUAACAUAUGUUUU